Molecule: long non-coding RNA, 1550 nt
Organism: Myotis davidii
Lineage: Eukaryota; Metazoa; Chordata; Mammalia; Chiroptera; Vespertilionidae
Exons: 2
Source: RefSeq, a predicted model, not a curated record
UUUGUCUGGACUGGGAGGGUAGGAGGACCUGAGAGGGAGGAACAAAAGUCGUGUUGUUUGGUGAUGCCGAGUUGACCGGGCAGCCCUGGAAACCCUCACCCGGGAAGGCGGUGAGCUGUUUGCUUGUUUACAGCGAAGGUUCCCACUUUAGUUCCAGCCCACUGCCUGGGGUUGCAGUCCGAGAGGAAAUGAAGGCUGGGAGUUUUCCGGGCGGCUGGCUGACACUUCCUCGCGGAUGCGGGAGCCGGGGCCGGCGCUUCCAGCCUCCCUCGGCGGGCGGGUGGCGAUGCGCACUGAGCAGCCGGCCAAGCCCAAGUGGAGGGGACCACCGUGGAGUGAUUUAUACGGAGAUCAUCACCUGUAUAUGCUGGAAGGCCAAACCAGAUUCCACCACCGUUGCGCCCAAUGGGUCUCUGGAAAAAGCAGACUCCUUAAAAGCCGAAAGUCUUGCGGGAUUUUUAAUUCCUUUCCUUGGAACCACUUAGAAACCUCGCAUUGCAAGGGAAUUGCAAUGCCUUUCUCUCCAAGCGCAGAGAAAUAAGAGUUUAGGGUGUGAUACUCUGCUAUAAAAAGGUUAGCAGAUUUAAAGACCCGAUUUACCUGCAACGCACUCAGCAGAAGACCCGCCUGCCAAGCAAUUACUUUAGCAGCGUCCACAUCGUUAGUGUGAUGGAUAAACUUUCCCUCAAAGUUUCUAAAAUACCUCCCUGUGCAAUUUUAAUAAAAACAUGCACAAAAAAUUAUGUCAGUCUCCCCUUUAUAUGCGCUUUAGUAGAGCUGCCUGUCUCUUUUGCUCUUUUGUCCUUUUUCAUGUUGAAUGGAAUUCAACCGUCUGGCUGAAGAAGGCCUUUUUUUCAGUGUUGACUUUUCUGUGACUGAAACGCACAUGUGAAGCUAUUGCAAUGAAAACAACCUCCAAUGAGGAGAAUACCAGGGAGGAGUUAAGUUUCAUUCAUUCAGAAGUGCCUUCUCAUAAGUCUGAGAGGCUUUUCCUAGGGGAAGCUGAUCUCUAAGGCUUUUUGGAGGGGCGUGUCUCUUCAGGACAAUACAUUGUCAGGUGUUAUGCAACUAAAGUGAGGAAAGUCUGGGCCCGGCAUUGUACCCAGGUCAAUCCAUCAAUUAUUGUUUAGAAAAAUGUUUUUUCCCGUGUUAGAGUUUUAUUGCUGUUUCCUUCUUAAUGAAGUGACUGGGACCAGAGUGAGUAGGGGCGGUACAGGGUGGAGGAGGUGGUGGAAAAGAGAAUGGAUGCAGAGGAGUGUCCCUGGCUUCUGUUGUGGUGUCUUUUCUAUUUGACUUCAUGGUUGUAAGUAUUUCCAGAUGGUGAAUCAGACACCAGACGUAACAAUAUUUCCAUAUUUGGGUAUAGCAGUAGCCUGCGUUUUUAACAUUUUUCUGCCUGUUAUCCAACCACAAAGCAUUCUUGACAGCUUCAGAUGUUGUUAAAUAUAGACUUAACUUCUGUUCCCAGAGCAGGAAAUUCUUUGGAAUUCCUUGUUUUCCACGCAAUCUGUCUGUCAUGAUUUAAAAUAAAAUUUCAGUGGGUGAUCCAA